Molecule: ribosomal RNA, 420 nt
Filed under: uncultured bacterium
Lineage: Bacteria
Description: bacterial SSU rRNA
Rfam family: Bacterial small subunit ribosomal RNA
Source: RNAcentral
AUUGAACGCUGGCGGCAUGCCUUACACAUGCAAGUCGAACGGCAGCACGGGGGCAACCCUGGUGGCGAGUGGCGAACGGGUGAGUAACAUAUCGGAACAUACCCUAGAGUGGGGGAUAACGUAGCGAAAGUUACGCUAAUACCGCAUACGAUCUAAGGAUGAAAGUGGGGGAUCUUCGGACCUCAUGCUCAUGGAGUGGCCGAUAUCUGAUUAGCUAGUUGGUGAGGUAAAGGCUCACCAAGGCGACGAUCAGUAGCUGGUUUGAGAGAACGACCAGCCACACUGGAACUGAGACACGGUCCAGACUCCUACGGAGGCAGCAGUGGGGAAUUUUGGACAAUGGGGGCAACCCUGAUCUAGCAAUGCCGCGUGAGUGAAGAAGGCCUGGUGUAAGAGUCUUUGUUCUAGGAGGAAACGGUA